RNAcentral lists this ribosomal RNA (305 nucleotides) under uncultured Rhodococcus sp. RNAcentral's name for it is "bacterial SSU rRNA". It matches the Rfam family "Bacterial small subunit ribosomal RNA", at positions 1080 to 1382 of the family's 1533-position model. Lineage: Bacteria; Bacillati; Actinomycetota; Actinomycetes; Mycobacteriales; Nocardiaceae. The record is from RNAcentral.
UUAAGUCCCGCAACGAGCGCAACCCUAUCUUAUGUUGCCAGCACGUUAUGGUGGGGACGUCGUAAGAGACUGCCGGGGUCAACUCGGAGGAAGGUGGGGACGACGUCAAGUCAUCAUGCCCCUUACUGUCCAGGGCUUCACACAUGCUACAAUGGCCAGUACAGAGGGCUGCGAGACCGUGAGGUGGAGCGAAUCCCUUAAAGCUGGUCUCAGUUCGGAUCGGGGUCUGCAACUCGACCCCGUGAAGUCGGAGUCGCUAGUAAUCGCAGAUCAGCAACGCUGCGGUGAAUACGUUCCCGGGCCUU